UACAGAGGAGCCAAGCGUUGUCCGGAUUUACUGGGCGUAAAGGGCGCGUAGGCGGCGUGGUAAGUCAGCUGUGAAAUCUCCGAGCUUAACUCGGAACGGUCAGCUGAUACUGCUGUGCUAGAGUACAGAAGGGGCAAUCGGAAUUCUUGGUGUAGCGGUGAAAUGCGUAGAUAUCAAGAGGAACACCUGAGGCGAAGGCGGGUUGCUAGGCUGAUACUGACGCUGAGGCGCGAAAGCUAGGGUAGCAAACGGG
This 253-nucleotide ribosomal RNA is filed under the name uncultured bacterium. RNAcentral's name for it is "partial 16S ribosomal RNA". It matches the Rfam family "Bacterial small subunit ribosomal RNA", at positions 524 to 776 of the family's 1533-position model. The record is from RNAcentral.